AUAAGCGGAGGAAAAGAAACUAACAAGGAUUCCCUUAGUAACUGCGAGUGAAGAGGGAAGAGCUCAAAUUUAAAAUCUGGCAGUGUUUUGCUGUCCGAGUUGUAAUCUAGAGAAGUGCUGCCCGUGCUGGACCAUGUACAAGUCUCCUGGAAUGGAGCGUCACAGAGGGUGAGAAUCCCGUCUUUGACAUGGACUACCAGUGCAUUUGUGGUGUGCUCUCAAAGAGUCGAGUUGUUUGGGAAUGCAGCUCUAAAUGGGUGGUAAACUCCAUCUAAAGCUAAAUAUUGGCGAGAGACCGAUAGCGAACAAGUACCGUGAGGGAAAGAUGAAAAGAACUUUGGAAAGAGAGUUAAACAGUAUGUGAAAUUGUUGAAAGGGAAACGCUUAAAGUCAGUCGUGUCGGCCAGGGAUCAACUCAGCUUUMUCUGCUGGGUGUACUUCCUGAUCUGAUGGGCCAACAUCAGUUUUGACUGCUGGAGAAGGGCAGAGGGAAUGUGGCACCUUCGGGUGUGUUAUAGCUCUCUGUCAGAUGCAGUGGUUGGGACUGAGGAAAGCAGCAUGCCGCAAGGCCGGGUCGUUUCGACCACGUUCAUUGCUGAGGAUGU
RNAcentral lists this ribosomal RNA (605 nucleotides) under Amanita muscaria (fly agaric). RNAcentral describes it as "LSU rRNA". It matches the Rfam family "Eukaryotic large subunit ribosomal RNA", at positions 46 to 626 of the family's 3401-position model. The record is from RNAcentral. Lineage: Eukaryota; Fungi; Basidiomycota; Agaricomycetes; Agaricales; Amanitaceae.